CCCCCGUUCACCAUCAAUCUACUCGCUACUUCUAUGAGGUCAACAUUUUUAGAUGGAAACUUCAGGGACAUCACGUGGAAUUUGUCUUUCUGAGGUGAUCAGAUGCUAAGUAGUGUGAUUUUGUCAUUCCAUGGUGCACACAUCCAUCUAAUCCUCACUCUGUAUCUCAUAAAUGAAUACAAGCAUGAUUUGCCAAUUGAAAUAAUAUUAAGAAAAACAUAAUAAAUGUAGUAAAAUACAGGAAGUGUAGCUUGACUGCCCUAACCACUUGGUUUUUGUCUUGGCCCAGCUGUCCAUUGGGUUCACUGGUGCUGCCUUAUCCCUUUGACUUUUUUGUGCUAGUCAGAAACAACAUAAUUGGAGCAUGAAACUGAAGCAUCUUUUGCCAAUGGCAUCCGUGGCUCCUUUUAGUCACAGAGAUUGAGGUUACACCAUCUGUCUUCUCGAGGGUUCCCUCAGACCAAGUCAACUCUUCUGGGUCUUCCACAUGGAGUGAGCCGACUUCCUGGUGGGUUCCCUGAGACAAGGCUCCUUGGGGGUUCCCCCAUAGCUGCUGGUGCUCUGUGGAGGGUGAAGCCACAGGCGUAUGCUGGGGGGCUUUGCUGGGAAUGGCUGGCUUCAUCUCCAGGCCAGGAGAUCUCAAGAAACUGACAGUCAUGGUGGAAGGUGUUAUGGGUGCAGCACUCCCUGGCUUGAGCAAGAGAGGAUAGAGAGUGGUGAGUACUUCACCCUGUAUAACAAACAGAUCUUGUGAGAAUUCACAUUACCAAGUCCUCACUCCGUAUAUUGCACCAAGGGGAGAUGGUACUGAACCAUUCAUAACAAUUUUGCCCCAUAAGUCAAUCACUUCCAACCACACUCCACAUCCAACUUUGGGGAUUACAAUUGAAAAUGAUAUUUGGGUGGAAACAUAUAUCAGUAUCAUUAAUUAGCACUGUUAGUCUAGUGAGUAUACUUAGUAUAGUUGCUUACUGUUUUAGCACAGUCAAUAUAGAUAGUAUAAUUUGUUAAUAUUUAAGCAUAGGUAGUAUAGUUAGUAUCAUUGCUUAGCAGUUUAGUGCAGCUAGUACAGUUAAUAUGGUUAGUUAAUACUUUAGUGAAGUUUGUAUAGUUAGCAUGGUUUCUUUAUAUGUUAGUAUAGUUAUUAUAGUCAGUAUUAUUUCUUUGUAUUAUAGCAUAGUUAUAAUAGUCAUUAUUAUUGCCUAGUUUUGUUAGUGUACUUGACAUAAUCAGCAUGGUUGCUUAGUAUUUUAGCAAAGUUUUUAUGGUUGCUCAAUAUUUUAGUGUAGUCAGUAUCGUUGAUAUGGUUGCUUAAUAUUUUACUGUGAUCACUAUAGUCUAUAUUGUUGCUUAGUAUUUUGUAGCAGUCAGCACACUCAAUAUCAUUGUGUAGUACUGUUAGUGUAGUGUAGUCAGUAUUGUUCCUUAGUUUCUUUGUCUGUAACAUCAGCAUCUUUGCUUAUAGUCGGUAUAGUAGGUAUUGUUACUUAGUCUUUUAGCAUAGUCAGUAUGGUUUUUAGUAUUUUAGCAUAGUUUGUAUAGUCAAUAUGGUUGCUUAGUGUCUUAGCAUAGUUGGUAAGUCAGUAUCAUUGCUUAGUAUUCUCGUGUAGUGUUUAUAGUCCGUUUAGUUGCUUAGCAUUUUAGUGUAGUUAGUAUAUUCAGUAUCAUUGCUUAGUAUUUUAGCAUAGUUAUUAUAGUAUUAUUAGUGUAUUUAGUAUAAUUAGUGUGGUUUGUUAGUAUUGUCAACCUAGGAAGUAUAAUUAGUGUUUCUCAUUAGUUAGAAGAGUUGGUAGAGGUUGAUUUGUAGUCAGCAUAGUUAGGAGACACUGUGGAGCUGGGCUUGGCCUCAAACUCACCUGAUGAGGAGAUCCAAAAGUACAGAUUUUUGAGACCAUCUGUUGGGGCACAUUCAGUG
Molecule: long non-coding RNA, 1915 nt
Organism: Papio anubis (olive baboon)
Lineage: Eukaryota; Metazoa; Chordata; Mammalia; Primates; Cercopithecidae
Source: Ensembl